Molecule: non-coding RNA, 5445 nt
Organism: Heterocephalus glaber (naked mole-rat)
Lineage: Eukaryota; Metazoa; Chordata; Mammalia; Rodentia; Bathyergidae
Source: RefSeq, a predicted model, not a curated record
GUUUUGGGUCGUCUCCAUCUCUUGCCGCCUGUCGCCUCUGUCUUUCAGCAUCAAGCACUUCAGCCAGCACAGUCAGCUGCUGGUAGUGAACUCCACGGGGGCGGACACUGGGGAAUUCAGCUGCUGGGCUCGGCAGCGCGUGGGUAGAAGGCAGGGACCGCCAGGGAAAGACAUUCGUCUCCUUCACAGAUCCAGAGGAGCUCUUUGUCCCUAGGGAAGAUUUCUACAGGUGGUGCAGCUGUCCACUCAUCAGCCAGCACUGCUUCCCUGCCAGGUGACCAACCCCUGGCCUGGGUGACUGCACCUGGAGUUCCCCCCGCAGAGGUGCCGGUGGUGGGACAGACAUCUCCUUCGAUGUGAAGAGAGGCUUCACCAUCCUCCGACCCCGAGCUCCGACCUCUGGCUGGCCCCUCUUCUGCUCAGCCAGCCUGGUCUACCAAGUACAUGCUGAUCUAAACCAACUGUGCCUGGGUCUGGGGCUCUUUGAGGGCAGGGGAGGGAGGAUAUGCAAAGGGACACUGCCCUUAGGACCUCAGAUCUGGGGUGCAUGAGUUAUGGAGCUCUAAACAACCCGACAGGGUUUAACCCUCCUUGCUGUCCAGAGCCCCUCAGUGCUCCAUAGCAGGCAGCCAGUCAGCCAGCAAGCUUCCUGCAUCAGUUCGGCCGCUCCACGCCUCUGUCCUCAGUCGGUCCAACUAGUCCAUUCCUUCAUCCUGCCCCAGACCCAUCUUCCUCCCCGAACCCACCAUCCAGGCUUCAGCAACAUCCGUCCAACUAGGGGAGAACUUCGAUGUCAACUGCUAGGUCCUGGGUGAGCUGGAGAUUGCUGUGGAGUUCAGCUUGGAGGACCCCGGGCAGAAGGGCGACUUCCGGUGAGCUGGGCCAGGGCUUGUGCUGAAGCUGGGGCCUUUUAACUCUGGUGAGCUCCUUCUGUCUGCUGCUAAGGACGGACAGACACUUGCUUCAAGGGUCUUAUGAGGAUGAAGGGAGCGAAGCUGUGUGGAAGCACUUUCAUGAUCAGACCCUGAGCUUCCUGAGAAGAAUCUGAUCCACAGACUGGCUGGGCGGCCUGCUGAGGGCCAAGGGUUCCGCUCUGCCUGCUGAGGGUCCUCAGACCCCCGGACGUGGCCUCUGGGACUAAGGGACUGGGAGCACUGGCCUGCGGGACCUCGGCCAGCCGCCCACCUUCCCCUCUGAGUCAGGACGCGUCCAGCCUCAGCCCCUAGCCUGACCUCCUUCAGGCAGGCCUGCUCUCGGACACUGCCGCCUCUCGAGUCACUGACAGGGUCCCCCAGACACGGAUUCAUUCCCGACUGGUGUUGCAUUUCCGGAGCAAAGAGAUAACCUGCAAUAAAGCUACAGAGUUGACACGCUGCCAUCUUUCAAUUUUGCGACGGGGAAAUGUGAAAAAGAAAACAGCUCCUACCUCACGUAUCACCACCUGUGUACAGAAGAAAGGGCAUAGCUUUUGGGCUCCAAAGCCAAAAGGACACAGUCUAUAUAAAUAAAAUGACGCUAGUCUAUUGUGCAAGAAUGGUUCAACAAAAUUGACAGGGCACAUCUGAGCCGGUGUGGUGUCACACGUGGGAGACCAGGGAAACUCCUGAGCAGCACGAGGACUCAGCCCCAGGCUUCUGCACUCAGAGUCACCUUCCUGCCUCCUUCCUCAGCCCUGCCUGGCCUGUGACACCUCCCAGCCCCACCCGAUCAGCUGGGCUACCUGUCCCAGCAUGGUCCCUGUUACAGCUGGAUGAGUAGCCAGUAAAGGCGCAGGACCCCAUGCCAGGAGCCACCGCCUGGCCCAGACCGGCCACAGGCCGGCCUCGAUCGAAGCCGCUGUGCACCAGGCUGGGCCUCCUCUGCCCACGCUCACAAAGGAAAUGCCCAGAAAGCGAGCCCAAUGCUGCAUUCUCAGCCACGAACCACGGUUUCCAUGAGGAUCAGCCGCUUGUCCAGCUCAUGAAUCCGCUCACUCUUCAUCUCGAUGACAAAAUGCAAGCUCUCCAGCUCCUGCUCCCAGAACUGGCUGGGGCUCCCAUGGUCCUGGACAGGGCCACAGAGGGACCGCAUCAGAUCGGCAGGUGUGUCCCAGCACUUUCCCAGGUGAGGCGGCUCCUCUCACAUAGGCUGGGUUGCUGUGCUACACGCCAACAUCACAUCUCUGCUCCAAGUACAAGCUGUGUUCUUGUCUCCAAACUUCCUUCCCUGGUGAGAAGAUUUCCCUCUGUUAACCCUUGACCAUGACCUCUGGAUCGAGUUCAACCCUUAAACACGGCUCCCGGCUCCCACCUUCUGGCCUCACCCACCUCUCUGGCGUCUCCCUCUUUCCCAUGCAGUCCACACCCUGGGCAUCUGGACUUCCUUCAGCUCCUCAGGCUGGCUGGGAGCUGUGCCAGAAAUACACUAGGCAUUUAGCAAAAGCUCGGGGGAAUGGAGAUAAAUUACGUCUCUGGAAACAGACCAUACCCAUGAACGCCACCAGAUUGUGGGCGCCACGUGCAUCUCACUGAGGCCCAGAUGCAAAGGCCCUGCGGCCAGCCUGUCUACCUUACACCUCACGUCAUGGAAGUGCAUAGGGCCAUUAUCAGCCGGGCCAGCAAAUCACAGUCAGCAAGCCGUUCGGGUCACACCAGAGGGCAGAGCUACGGGAGGUGCAUUAGCUCCGAGGCAGGAAACCUACCUGAACUGGCUCUGCUUCUCCAAAGCAGGGACCUGAGAAGAUCACAUCAGACAUUGGAAAGUCCUGUCGCCUCAACUGAGAAAUGGGGUCAGUGCGCUUGUCCUGACUGUCUCAAGGGGUGACUCAAGGAUCACCUGAGAGGAGGAUUUGUACAGCUUCCAAAGGGAGCGGUGCUGGAACGCGCUGUCAUUCCCAAGUCAGUGGCUGUUUAUCCUCCCCACUGUCCCCGCAGACUGCCUUUGGGAAAGUUCCAACCUCGUCUCAUUUGAAAGAAGACAGCAAAGAAAGGGCCAGUCAGUGGCCAGGAAGAGAAGUAGAGUAGAGAGGACAAAAAAGUUAAAUACAGCUAAAGCAGCCAGUCCCUGUGGUGUAGGCCUAUAAUCCCAGCACUCUGGGAGGCUGAGGCAGGAGGAUCACAAGUUCUAGCCCAGCCUGGGCAACUGAGUGACUUAGUAAGACCCUGUCUGAAAAUAAAAAAUAAAAAUAAAAAGGGGAUUGGAGAUUCUUAGUAACACACCCACACACAGCCAAAGGGCCAGGUGGGUAGUAAGAACACAGAAAAGGAUGUACAGUGAUAUAAAUGUGAUAGAGCCAUUGAAAACUACAGCCUUCACUUAAAAAAAAAUGGACUUAGUUCGUUAAUUUGCCUGUCAAGACAGGCUAUGGUUCCGGAGAAGACACUUUGUCCAGGUUCCUGAUUGCAGUAGCCACACAAUCCAGACAGAAUGAAAAGGAGUGAUUUGGAACAACUGUUUGAAAAGUAAAUGGUUGCAGCAAACUGGGCAAGAAGACAAAGUCUUAACAAAUAAACAGGAGCGACUCAGAAGAACCAAAAGGAAAGUUCAGAAGUAAAAGAGUCAAUAAAUGAAAUAAAAAAUUCCCUGAGUAGAAUCAACAGCUGGAUGGAGAUGAUGUAAGAAAGACAUUGAACUUACAGAUAGAUCAAUAGAAAUUAUCCAUUCUGAACAACAUAGAGGGGAAAAAAUGAGAAAAAAGUGAACAAUGAACAGACCUUUAGGGCCCUAUAAGAUAGUCCUAAAAUGUUUAACAUCUGUGUCGUCAAAGAAGGGGAGAAAGAGUGAAUCUCAGAAAGAUUAUUAAAUGAAGCCAAUUUGGCAAAACAUAAACCUACAGAUUAAAGAAGCUCAUGGGACCUCAAAGUAAACCCAGUGAAAUCCACAUCCAGACACAUCACUUCUGAAAACUAAUGACAAAGAAAGAAAAAAAUCUGCAAUGGGACUGUGAACUAAUGGUACAUUAUUUAUGGGGAACAUCAGAAACUUUGGAAACUAGAGGAAUAAAAAUUUUAAAUUGCUUAAAAAAAAACCGAAACAAAACUAUAAACCCAGAAUCCUAUCUCCUCUGAAAAUAUCCUCCAGGAAAGAAGGUAAAAUAAAGACAUUCUCAGAUUAAGGAAGACCAAGAAUUCAUCAUCAGUAGACCUAACCUAAAAGAAUGGCAAAGAAAAAUUUUCAAGUAAUACCAGAGGGAAACGGGGAACUUCAAGAACAUAAGAAGAGCAACACAACUGGAAAAAAAUACCUGGGUGAAUGCAAUAGAUUCUUACUCUUCUUUUAACCCUUUACAAAUAUGACUAAUGAUUAAAAGUAAAAAUGAUGACAUUGUCUGAUGGAGUAUUCAAAUAUAUAUAGAUGUAAUACAUAAGAAAAAUAAAAGUAGGCCCAUCUUACCCAUGAUGUCAUUUCCCAUGGUUUCCAUUACUUACAGUCAACCACAGUUCAAAAAUGGUACACAGAAAAAAACAACUAAUACUUUUAAAGUAACUUUUAUUACAGUAUAUAAUUGUUCUAUUUCAUUAUUCUUGUUGCUAAUAUCACUGUGCCUAAUUUAUGGAUUAAACUUUAUCACAGAUAUAUGUAUAGAAAAAACACAGUAUACUUAGGGUUUGGUGCUAUGUGUUUGGCAUCUGUUGGGGUCUUAAAAUGUAUCUUCCAUGGAUAAGAGGGUACUACUGUGAGGCAAACAGGGAGAGGCCAGAGAAACCUACAUAAUGGUAAGGCCUCUACAUUCCUUUUGAGGUGGUAAAACAUCAAUCCUAAGUAGACUAUUAAAUAAUUAUACUAUAAUUCUUAGAGCAAUCACUUAAAAAUACUAUACAAAAAGACACAGUAAGAAAGAUGAGAUAAAUUGAUAUAGAAUACUGUACUAAAAGAUGUAGAAAUACUUUAAAAGAAGGGGGAAACAGAGGAUAAAAAUGGGGAGAACAAACAGAAAACAUAUAUUAAAAUGAAAGACCUAAAGCCAAGCAUUACAUGUUCUAAACACACCAAACAGAAGAUAAGAGUAUGUCAGAAUGGGUAAAAACCAGCACAACCACCACCAGUAUGUUGUCUCAGGAGGCAUUCCAUUACUGUGAAAAAAAUUUCUGAGAUAAUCAACUUAAAAGGAGGAAAGAGUUAUUGUGGCUUAUGGUUUCAGAAGUUUCAGUCCAUGGUCACUUGGUCCUGAUGCUUUAUACUUAGGAUAAGAUAGUAUAUCAUGAUGGGAGAAUGUGGAGGAGGAGGCCUGUUGACCUCAUGGUAUUGAGAUGCAAAGAGAAAGCCAGGACGGGGCUGGCUCCGAGUAUCCCCUUCAAGGCCAUACUACCAGUGACUUCCUUUCCCCCCACUAGGCCACACCUCCUAAUGGCUCCACUACCUCCUAAUAACUCUAUGGGCUGGGGACCAACAGCUCAGUGCAUGGGCUUUGGAGGACAUUCAAGAUGUAAACCCACCAUAUAUAUAUAUGUGUGUGUCAGAGGUAGG